This 4863-nucleotide long non-coding RNA is filed under the name Cucumis sativus (cucumber). Its description in RNAcentral is "long non-coding RNA (CSAT_LNC002662)". Lineage: Eukaryota; Viridiplantae; Streptophyta; Magnoliopsida; Cucurbitales; Cucurbitaceae. The record is from RNAcentral.
AGUAUCUGUGAUAUCAAAAAUGUAAACCUUAAGAGGAAUAACAAGAUCAUCAUCCCAAUCCACCCACUUGACUGUAUAUCUAGCAUACAAGUUCCUUUGUUGAUCAUCUCCUAAUUCAUUAUCAUACCCUUUUUUCACUUUACAUUGGGUCUGAUCAUAACAACAUCUUAAACCUCCAAUAUAAUCAUCUUCCAAAGCCAUUCCCAACCCAUCUUUUGUAACAUUAUACAAAUGACGUUUGCAUUCAAUACAUCCAAUUCUAUCUUCAACACCUCUUGUAUCAAUGGCAUGAAUAUUAAGAACCCAUUUCUCUUCAUACCCUAAAGGGACUUCCUUUUCAUUACCAACUUCUAUUCCAUAUGGGUGUGGAAGAAAUGAGGAUGUUUUUCUUGAAUCUGCCCCUGUCCCAAAGAAUUGUGGAAGUGCAUGUUUUUGACAUACUCCACUGUUUCCUGCUAUUAUGAAAUUUGGUUCUUGGAGUUGAGUGAAGGAAGUGUUGAUGUGUGGAUCUUUUGUGUCUUUGCGUUGGUAAUACCUGUUGUUGUUGCACAAAAAUAUGUUAUUUUAGAUCGGUAAAAAUAUAAAUGUUUCUCAAAUAAUCAAUUAAACAUGUAUAUACUCACUACUAAUAUCACUGCUAAUACAGUCAAUCUAAACUCGUAUACUUCAUAACUAACUCCAUUUCAAACAAAUUAUUUAAUACUCCGCAUUGCAAGCAAACUUCCUGAAUUAGUGAGGUAAAAUACUCUUAAUUAGACACCAAAAACGUAUAGAUCAUUUGACUUGACUCAGAUUAUAAUAACAACAAAAACUAUUACGACUAACUUAUUCUCUGGAAAAUCUUAUUACAAUAAUGUUAUUCAUAAAAGAGAUGUGCCUGAUCAACAGUAAUGAGUUAUGUUAAGAAAUAUUCGAUUGCCUAGAAAAGAGAGAGAGAAAUGGUAUAGACAGUAAAUAAAACAAUAAGAGUAAUAAUAGUACCUUAGAAUUCCCCAAUGGUGAAGAUAAGUUUCAAAGAGAGGGAUGGGAUUGUCUUCUUCAUCUACGACUUCAACAUCAAAACUUUUGAUAGCAAUAUGGCCUUCGGGAAAGUUGGUAUUAUAGAAGAAUCUCUCCACUACAUGGCCAGGUUUUAAAGUGAAGAAUGGAGUCAUAUAAGUCUUUGUUUUUAUGACUUGAUGAUCGUUCUUGUUGUUUAUUACAACCCCUUCCAAAUAUGGUAUCAUAAUUCCUAUGGAAGAGAGCAGUAGCAACCACCGAAAACAUUGGUGAUGCUUCAACAUUUUUCUUUGUUUGAUUCUGCAAAAAAAAUAUGAACCGUAAUACGGUUUAAAUAAUCGAAAAAAAGAUGAACAAAUAUUCAGUGACGUGACAGAUUUUGAGUGAGAGUAUAGUUGGUAUUACUGUAUAAUAUAAAUGGAAUGAUGAUAUAAUGAUAAUAUUGGGAGUAGGGAAUAAAGGAAGUGGGUGGAAAAGAGAGAUUUUCUUAACAUAAGAAUAUGGUUAUAAUUUCUCUGCCUAUUUUUAUAAUCUAAAUUGUCACCUAAUUCUUUUUAAAUUAAUUAAGGGACAAAACUCACCUAAUUUAAUUUAAAGUACUAAAUUAAAAUAUUUUCUAGAUUUGGAUGCUAGCUUUUGAAAUAUAAGAGAUUUUUAGCAUCUCAUCAAAAUCACUAAUUACACACUUUUAAUGACUAACAAAAAAAGCGCGUAAAGUUUUGACUUCUAGGGUACGAUCUUGAAAAUUUUGAAAGUAAAAAAACCAUGAUCUUAUUUUGUUGAGGCAAGAUUUACAACACCCAAAAAUCCUUUUCAUGUAAUUAGAUCAAAGCAUACCGAAUCACAACAUUAUUAUACUAAUAUACUUUGAAUUAGGUAAAAACGAAUUAGGUAAAAAGGUCUAAUUCUUAAGACACCAUUAAAAAGUGAAUUUUGAAUGAGUUGAUGCUCCAAAUCACUCACUCUCAAACUUUCUUCGAUCAUCUCAUGCUCACACUCUAAAAACCAAAUGAUCGAAACAAUAUAUAUAGUUUUCAAACUUUUUAAAACAACAAUUUAACUAAUUCUUAAAACAACAGUGAAUUGUGAAUAGUAAGCUCUACGGUCGACUAAAUGUGAACGUUAAUAAAAAGAGUAUUCUCAACAGUGAAAAAAAAGACUUCUUAGUAUCAACAAAUGGUAUAUAUGUAUAUGCUUCAUUAAUAUUGGAUAAUCAUGCCUCUAACCUAUAACACAUAUGUAACUCAAAAUCAUGUCUACAUCAAUAUUAACAUAUUGAUGGAUAGAAGAUGAAUUAAGAAAUUACUAACCGUAGAGAUUCUUGAAGAAGAGAGGAAGAAGAAGAAGAAGAACAAGACGGAUGCAAAUAAUAGAAAGAGCUUUUGAUUUGAUUGGCAAUGGCGGAUUUGAUUAUUUCUCAAUCUAUAUUUUAUCGAUGGCUUAGCUGGAAGACCAUUUAACAUAAACUUAGCUUUUUUAAAAGAUCCAAAAUAUAAUUAUUAUUAAUGCUAAAAAUAAUGUCAUAAUAAAGACAUUAAACAACAAGAUUAUAUUAUUCUAAUAAUUAAUUAUAUGUUAAAAAAGUUCUCAAACAUUUUGGUGUUCACUUUGUUGUUUGGUUCUUAUCAUGACUUCUUCUCUUUUUUUUUCUUCUUUUUGGUAUUAUCUAAAAAUAGUUCUAAAAUAAAUAGAAAAAUUUCCAACUUAAUAAUAAAUUAAAAUUAUAAAGUUUGUAGGGAAGACAAAAAAACAAAAACAGCUCAAAACACCAUUUUUUUUAAAUAAAGAAUGCAAUUAAUUAAAAAAAAUCAAAACAAAGAAACAAAAAUGCAGAAAUAUAUAUAAAAUUGAAAAAAAGUAAAACAUAAAUAAUUAAAUUGUUAACUUUUAGUGUAAAAAGUUAAGGAGAAGAUAUAUAUUUCUUUUGGUAAAGGAUCCAGAAAGAUUCACCUAAUUCAUAUACUAAAAGGAUUCAUUAUUUUUAAUAGAUGAUAUAUAUAUAUAUAUUGCACAAGUUGCAUUGCAUUUUUGUAUAUAUAAAUAUUGGUGGACCAAAUCAAAUAGAUUCAAUUAAUUCGGUUCGAUAUUUGAAUAAGUUUUAUCAUAAAAUGAAACUAUCUUCAGCUUAGUUCUACUUUUUAUUUAUACAAAUUAAAUUUUUAAGAAACAAAACUAGAGAACGUGAGUAUGUCUAUUGCUUAUACCUCAUCUGAUCCAUUCACCCUGUAGUUAAUAUCUACAAGUUUUGGUUGUCUUUUGGGAUCAACGCCCUUUUGUAGCCAAAGUGUAAAAAAAUAUAUAUCGAAUGAGUAUAGAGAAGUCGAGUAUGGUAGGAACUACUGAUAUUCAAAGUUUCUCUACAAAAAUUUAUUUUAUUAUUUCUUUUUAGGUUAUUUGUUAAAUUGUUUUCUUUUUUAAAGUUUGGUUGUUUUAGUACAACUCUCUUUUCUAUGUAUCUUAACUUAAUGCAACUGACAUACAUUUUUACUAUGAGAAGAUAUUCAAACACACUGUACAAUCUUAUAUUAUAAUUACAUUAUACAAACACACAAACUUUUAUACCAUAGUGUCAAACUAUAGGUAUAAAUUAGUAGAUGACAGAGUUCAUUAUCGUCAUCUUCUUCAUAGACCCACCAAUUGUAAUAUAAUAAUGUAAAGAUUUUACAUGGUGAUCUUCUUUUUACGAUCAUCAGCAAGUUGUUUGAGUGGUUCCAUUUGAAUGAUUGAGUUUGGUAACUUUUGUGCAACCAUAAUAUGAAAGAAACCCAUAACUCCAAUGUGAGUUUAAGAAGGAUGAUAUUUGGAUAUCAUAGUUAACAUUUCUUUAUUGUUGAUUUUGACAGAGCCUGGCUUUGGAUAACAAGUUGACAUCCCAACCACAUACCCCUUUUCAUUCCCUAUUUCACUUCCAUUUCCAUAUAUGGGAGAUGAAGAACAUAGAUCUCUUCCAUCCUAAUAAAUGUAUAAAUACAUAUAAUUCACAAACUUAAUAAAACUUCUGUCACGUAUAAUUCGGUUAAAUUAUAAAUUUAGUUUUUUACCUUUAGAUUGAAAACUUCAAAAAGUAUCUAUAAUUAAACAAACACUGUGCAGUAAACAUUUUGUUUCUGGUUUUUUGUUUUUAAAAAUUAAACUUAUUUUCUCUAAUUUUUUAAAUUAGUGUAUUUUUUAAGUACAUAUCUAAAGGUUAUUUGACACAAAAUUGAAAUAUAAAAUUAAAAGAUCAACUACGUAUAUUUUUUACACACAUCAAAGUUUAAAAAAUGUGUAAUUUAAUUUUAUAAGGAAUGAAGAGACCAAUUAUUAAGAUAAACAAGAAAAAAAUACCUGUCCAUAAAGCACUGAACCAAGACCACCAACAUGGAGAUGGGCCAUUCCAUAUAUGAUAUAGCCACUACUUGGAGACAAUAACCUCACCAUUUUUGUAGCAUUACAUUCAUCACCAACCUUGUUUGUGGAGCAAGUCCCUCCUACAUUAUACUCCACCUAUACACAAACCAUCAAAUAUUUAAUAUACAUGAUGUGUAUAUAUAUAGCAAAUGGAUAAAUAGUUGACUUACAAGACAAUUAUGUUGUUGAGGAGCUCCUGUUGAGUCCAUCAAUGGCUUCCAAGUGUCUGUGAUAUCAAAAAUAUAAACCUUAAGAGGAAUAACAAGAUCAUCAUCCCAAUCCACCCACUUGACUGUAUAUCUAACAUACAAAUUCCUUUGUUGAUCAUCUCCUAACUUAUUUUCAUACCCUUUUUUCACUUUACAUUGAGUUUGAUCAUAACAACAUCUUAAACCUCCAAUAUAAUCAUCUUCCAAAGCCAUUCCCAACCCAUCUUUUGUAACAUUAUACAAAUGACGUUUACAUUCAAUACAU